UGGCAAAUAAAAUUUCUGUGUGGCCACGC
RNAcentral lists this non-coding RNA (29 nucleotides) under Mus musculus (house mouse). The record is from RNAcentral. Lineage: Eukaryota; Metazoa; Chordata; Mammalia; Rodentia; Muridae.